CCGCGCCAGUCGCCGCGUGAUUACGCCUACUGGUCUACGCCCCCUCUGUACAAUGUCGGUGCAGACUCUGAGACGCCGGACAUAUUGCCGUUUAGUGCGCCGUGCCCGUCGUCGACUGCAAUGCCGCCAGCGCCGCGCCCGUCGUCGACUGCAAUGCCGCCGGCGCCGCGCCCGUCGUCGACUGCAAUGCCGCCGGCGCCGCGCCCGUCGUCGACUGCAAUGCCGCCGGCGCCGCGCCCGUCGUCGACUGCAAUGCCGCCGGCGCCGCGCCAUGCACCGCCUGCAAUACCGCCGGCGCCGCGCCCUGCACCUGCACCGCCUUUGCGCCGCAGGCAGAGGCAGCAAAACGAGCCGGUGACAGUGCUGGAGGCGAGGAGGACGCUAAUGCUAAACUCGGACAGAAGCGCGGACGGCUGGAAUCGGUUGCUGCCUAUUCUAGACAGGCUAGCAACCUCCUAUGCCGAGACAGCCAAGGAGCAGGCUCGUAUGACUGCAGCCGUCUGCGACAUACGGGACAUCCUAAGGGAUAGAUUGCCUCCUCCUCGUCCUAAGUGAGGCUUCAGAUGUGCGGCCUUAACCAGGUGACGAGGGCCCACCGUUGAUGAAUUGAGCGCAGGCUCUUACAAAUCCAUACGAUGAAUAUUGUUGACGGCCAUCAACGUCAACCGUCUAUGGCUUAAGAAAGAUAGAUUGUCACAUGACUGUGGCUUCACCCCUCGCGGUCGAGGCGUAGGUUGUGGUGAUGGUGCGGAGUUGGUGUAGAGCGCAGGCCUUUACAAACCCAUACGAUGAAUACAAAUCCCUCCUCCACUUUGUUCAUCAUGAAUUUUAUAUUACACGAAGACAGAAUAUAGGGCGCCCUCAAAUUAGUCGCUAUUUAGACUGCAGCGCUGCAGCCGCGCUGCUGUCUAAAUUCCAUAUAAAUUGUAACGCGCGGCUGCGGCGCUGCAGUCGCACAUCUUUAUAUGCAUCUCUAUAUAUACAAAAUUUAUAUGGAUUUUGACAGCAGCGCGGCUGCAGCAGCCCUGCUUCCGCGCGACAAUUAGCGACUAAUUUGAAGGCGCCCAUAGUGAUUUGUGACCCUGACUACUAUGUCCCGGGUUCGAUUCCCAGUCGGGGCUGAUUAAAGACAGAUUUUUGUAUUGGGGUUCAACUACUAGUUUGGAUGGACGUCUGUGAGAUGUCCCCACAUAUUAUUAUUAAAACAUGUGAGUUACAGUUA
Plutella xylostella (diamondback moth) is the source of this 1222-nucleotide non-coding RNA. Lineage: Eukaryota; Metazoa; Arthropoda; Insecta; Lepidoptera; Plutellidae. The record is from RefSeq and is a predicted model, not a curated record.